UCUUUCAUUUUUUUUCCCACCCGAAACACGCCUUAACCUCACCCCUAUCUCCUUCAUUUUCUUUUCUGUGAUAAACCCUAAGCUCUGCAGUAGAUUUCUCUCUCUUCCAUCGCCAAAAAUGGCAGCGAUACAGAGGGAUCAGGUUUCACGUGGUCCUAGUACACCUAAAUCUAGUAGAACAAUCAAUGCUUUGUACGAACUCUUGGUGUAUACAUCAAGCAAGGUAAUUUCAAUCUCAUUUCCCUUUUUCUUUCUGUGAUUUCUCAGUCAAAGAUGUAAGGGAAUGGAUCUGAACCCAGUGACCUCGAUUUUCAUUAGCCGAAUCUCAUUUGACAUGGAUCGAGGUGAACUGACCAAGAUCAAACCCUUUAUCAUUGUUUAGUGAAGAUCUAAGUCGUUCGUUUCUAAGUAAACCACAAAUUUUAGGAAAAACUUUCAAGUCACACAUCGAUGGACUAGGGUUAAAAUUUUGUUUAGACUUGACUGUGAAGUUGCGUCUUUAGUUCAAAAAGUUAUUUAUUUUUGCCUUUUCUUGUUUGGCUGAGUUCGAGAAUUGGAAGCACAGAGGCUCCAAGUCCAUUUUUGCUCCGAUAGCAUAUCAAAAAGAUAAUUACUUACUAUUCUAUCGCUUUCAUUUAAUUUUUGUUUGUCUUAAUGUUAAUUUAGUUGUAAUUAAGUGUUCUGUGUUUAGUUUAAGAUGUUGAUAUAGCUAUGUUUUACUUGUUUUCACAUUAUGCUUUACCCAAAUGAUCAAUACGGUAACAUGUAUCUGUUCCUGAUAGUUUAGCCUGAGGUUUGUUUGGUUGAUUGUUGAUCUUGAGGGAUUAACCCAAGUUGUGACUUGUGAUUAGUUUGUUUUCACUUUAGUUAGACCUGUUAAAGAUAGGGUCAUAUGGAAUAGAGUAGAUAUGAGUUAAAUGAAGAGAUUUUCUAGGUCUAACCUAAAGAAAUGGAAAAUGUAAGCUGGUUUUGAAUUCUGGUUAUGUAAAAAAUGAUUUGAAAUGAUGUGGUAAUUAAUGUUUUGAGAUUAGAGGAUCAUGACUAUCACAUAGUUUAAAUUAGGACCAGUUUAACCACUCAGGAUGUGAAGGUGCUCUUAAAACAAGAUUCUUGUUAACUAAAAUGUGGUUCUGAAUGUGCAAUAGCCUUGUCAAAACAUGUUAACUUAAAUAUGUAGUCUUAAUGAGCCUCUUGUGGGCCUAUUCAUUUCAUGAUCUUGUUUCUGUGAAAUCAAUUCAUGUGUAAAGGAUAUGAAAGGGCCUAGGCAGUUUAAAAUGAAGGGUGUGCUUUUAUAAUCCAAAUUUGAUUUCUGAUUAUACAACUGGACUUAAAUGUUUGCCAACAAUAAAGUAGAGUUGCAGAACCGCUUAAUGACUUUAAGAUUAAUAAAAAAAAAAACUAUAGUAAGUUAGCACAGAUUAUUUACAUGUCAUUGAGUAUGUUGUGUCUCCAUAUGAUUGAAUACUUAGCCCUUAAAAGGGGAGAGGGGAGGGGAAAGAAUAAAAGAGGAAGGGAAAACUUGAUAUGAAUCUGUCCAGGUCAUGUCAUGAAAGCCUCCUGUAUUAUUUAUAAAAUUGCGCUUAGAUAUUGAGUGCCCGUUGAUCAUAGACAAGAACAGGGCUAAUAGUAAUGUUUGUCCUUUCUUUAGGGUUGAAAUAUGUUAUUCUGGUUCUGUCCUGAUAUGCCUAGAGGUUUAGUUGAUUAUUGUAAUUAAACUUGUAUAGAUCAUGUUAUGUGAGGGACUGAUAUUCUGAAUAUGACCUUAGUAUGAACUUAAGGGGGUAAAAUGGGACUAAAUGGGGAUUGAAAUGAUCUAUCUCGGUGAAGUCUCAUGUGGAUAAGUUAUAAAUGUGAUUUGUCUCUUCUUUGGUGUUAUUGAGAUUGAUACAAAUGAAAGGGUUGAAAGGGUCAUAGGGUAUGGAUACAUAAAUUGUAAACCACUUGGCAGUGAGGCAGUCUUUUAAAGACACUUUGAGAGAAGGGAGACAUAGGACCAGGAUUUACUUGGUUCAUAAUGUCUUCUUCCAAAUAAAAGGUUGCCACGGCAUAUCUCAUAUGCCUAUGGGGUAAAAUCUAUAGUAUCCAUACUCUAUUUUCUUCCUUCCUUGUUCAUUAGAUCAAAGGGAGCCUAAAAUGAACAUGUCCGGUCUUUGUUUACAAUUCUUACUACUGUCCUUGUUCUGGUUGGCUUGUCUGUUACUAGUUAUCUUCUCACCUUUGAUAAAAAUGGGAUCAAAAGAGUUUUAAAAGAAUUGAUCUGGAAUUUGGAAUAUGCAUCAUGACAUAAAGACUGGAUAUUUUCUUAAGUUGUGUGUCUUGCUUCUUUGUUUAUUUGUUCUCUGAAAUCCGGCAAGAUAAAAGAGUAUAAAGGCUGUGCCUAAAACUUGAAGUGAUACAGUAACAACAUGGUUCAUUUCUGUAUAAUGGUUCUUGAAUUUUGUUUAGUGGGCCUACAAACCUUUGUGUGCAGUCUUAUCUUGAGUUUGUUGUGAUUUGUUGUGAGUGCAUCUCUUAAGGGAUUAAGCCCUGCCCAGAUUUGUGCAAUGUAUAAAUACAUGUUGGCCUUGGCUGUUGCGUACUCCAUCUUAGGACUUGCUAAAGUUUGAUUUAAUCUGCAUAGGCUUGGCCCGGUUCAGUACAAGUCUUGUGGAAGUUUAAGUCUGAAGUCAGCCUUAGAUUAGGAUUGAUAUUAUUACUUAAAAGUGAAAGAUAAUUAGGUGGUUAAUAAAGUCGGACAAGUUUAAGAAUUACUUUAAGCUUAAGAGGAAAUAUUCAUAGGGAUAUUCCUAAGUUUGAUGUUGACUAGGUGCAGAUAUACAUGUGAUAUAUUAGCUGGUACAUUGUAUAUACACAUAAGUAUAUACGCCUUUAGGGAGUGUAUAUCAACGACCAAAGGGAUAGAAAUCCCAAUUAAGCUUCAAUGUUUAGUUGAAAUUCAGAUUUAGCAUGGAGCUAGCCUAGCCCAAUUCAACUUUAUAAAGAAGUAGUAUAGAUUUGUCUAGCCCAAAGUAAGAAUUUGAAGGGGCUUAGUUGUUUUCUUUUCUUUGGUGUCCACUCUUGGGUUCCCAAAGCCCAACAACUUGAUGUAGUCUGUGUUCUAGCUAUGUUAUAUACCUGUGUGUAUGUAUAAAUUUGAUAAGAUCAGUGGUGUUUUUUUCUAACUAGAGUCCUUUGUUUUUUCCUCUCCCUCCUCUACCACGUCCACUUGGACCGGGUCUGAAGCCAAACUGUUGGGCCAAGGCCCAACAGAAAUUCCUUCACAAUUAUCGAGUCCGUUGAACAAAAGGAAUCUAAUAUUAAAGAAAUGUGUACAAGGCCCAGCCAUGGGUGAAAAUGGCCAACUAGGGGCUUUGGUACGCCCCUAGCCUUCCCUCUUCUUUUUACUUUAGUUAGUUAUUUACGCUUUUCUUCUUUAUUUGUGAAGUUUGUCGUAUUGUGUAAAAAUUUGUAAAACUCAUAUAUUAUUGGAAUCUUUUAAGAUUAUGAACUAGU
Long non-coding RNA from Lycium ferocissimum, 3492 nucleotides. RefSeq lists it as uncharacterized. The transcript is spliced from 2 exons. The record is from RefSeq and is a predicted model, not a curated record. Lineage: Eukaryota; Viridiplantae; Streptophyta; Magnoliopsida; Solanales; Solanaceae.